This is a non-coding RNA of Macaca mulatta (Rhesus monkey), 1199 nucleotides long. The record is from RefSeq and is a predicted model, not a curated record. NCBI's taxonomy places the organism in Eukaryota, Metazoa, Chordata, Mammalia, Primates, Cercopithecidae.
GGGAUUACAGGCGUGAGCCCCCACGCCCGGCCACACAGUCUGUUUCUUAUAUGGGUUGCCCUAAGGAACCUUGGAGACAUUUCUUUCCACUGGACAUUUGUGUCUCUGACCUCGUGCUGUCUCUCGUCUAGACACCAGGCAAGUAUUCGGGGUGCCCUUGGAAAGCCCCAGGAUGUGACAGCCAGGGUUCACGUUGGCCAGGUCAUCAUGCCUAUCUGUACCAACAGCAGAACCAUGAGCAUGUGAUUGAGGUCAUACGUGGGGCCAAGUCCAAGUUCCCUGGCUGCCAGAAGAUCUAGAGCACAAAGCAGCGGGCCUUGAUCAGGUUCAAUGCGGAUGAAGCUGAUCCCACAUGGUGGCUGAGAAGCGGCUCCCUCAUCUGGCAUGGCUGGGGGUCAAACGCAGCCCCAGUCGUGGCCUCCCGGGUCUCAAGACGAGCAACAGCCUCUGAGUCACAACUGCGCAGAGAAGCCUAGCAGCCACCUCGGCAGAGCCAUUCCCCCACGUCCAGCCUGAGCGCCAUCUGGAAAGAGACCCUGCUCAGCCGCCCCAGCAUUCCAGAGACCCGCAAGCCACUGUCCCAAUCCCCUCUUCCGGCCCACUCGCAAGCAUUAACUGGCGCUCUUCACUUGUCUUUCUGUUACAUCAGGAGUCAGGGGCACAGUGAGAGCCCCACACAGAAGGUUGAGGUCACGCCACUGACCAGCUGCGGGCCACCAGGCAGAGCAGCCUGGCCGUAGUCCUGGUCACCCAAGUGCCAUCGAUUGGGGCUGCCACCACCAACCCGGUGCCACACCAGCAUUGGCCACCAUUCCUGGUUCCCCACAGCAAGCCUAUAUGACAGGCAAUGGUGUCUCCAUUUUACAGACAAGGAAGCGGACGCCAGGGAGGGUAAGGGCUGGGUUCAAGGCUAGGCAAACAGUGCUGGUGACAACAGCAAGUAGGAACGAAGGCCCUGGCGGAGCCCUUCCUGUGAGCCGGAUGCAGACUGAAAGAGCAGUGCCGGAAAUCCCCAUGCCUCCUAGAGCCACGCGGUUUUCUGUGUGCCCGGAAGCCACACGCCCGAGGACGUGUGGACAGGUGCAAGGAGGACAACCUCGGGAACGGCGAUUCUCGAGGUGCCAUUUGGACCCUGAAUGACAGUGUUUGCUGCUCGUCCUCAGGCCAGAACACUUUAAAUAAAAACAACCCAGACAUUC